Molecule: long non-coding RNA, 1303 nt
Organism: Zootoca vivipara (common lizard)
Lineage: Eukaryota; Metazoa; Chordata; Lepidosauria; Squamata; Lacertidae
Source: RefSeq, a predicted model, not a curated record
CUUGUUCAUUUUCUGUUGGGUACAGACUUAAACUCAAGAUAAUUUUGUUCUAAACAGUAUCAAAGUUCCAAACAGCUACUACAACGAAACAAUCUGGUUUGCCAGAAAACUGUAGAUCACAUUGUUUCUCUAGCAAGAACAAAAUGUUCAUGUGCCCUGGUAACUGUAUGUACUUUUGUGACCCUCAAUCAAAAUAAUUAGGAUCAGUGUGAUACGCAGAACUGUUAGGCUUUUCAGAAGACAUAUUCUGCAAUCUUUCUAAGGUCUAUUCAAAAGCAGUUCUCAGACCUCACACAGUUGAUCAUAACUGGGAUUUCGUUGAGGAUUUAAACAAGUAACUUCAAGUAAACUACUGAUUGCAAAGGAUGCCUUUGGAAUGUAACCCAGUUUGGUGCUUUGUCCUGCUGCAUGAAAGCAAAUGGUCAGAUUUAAGUAUAAGAAGAAGAAGAGCAGCUUAUUCAGUAGACAAUGCUCUGUUACGUCACCAGCAUUGUCACAAUGAUGCAUGAAUGUAAUGGAUCAUCAGAGACUUGUCAGAGAGAAGAUUUAUUACCCCCCAAAUACUUCAAGGAGGUGAGUGUUUGUUUUCCAGCCAAGUGACUGUAUCCUGCGAUGGAAUGAUGGCUAAUGGGAUUUUCUGUGAUGAUUUCUCAGUCAAUUAUAGCACUAGAAGACCUAUGCAGAUGGAUAUGAAAUCAUCCCCAAUGAAAUCAUCCCUGUUUCUAAUUGCAGGAAGAACAAAAAACAACAAAAAAACACCCCCAAAACCAUCUAGCCAGGGGGUCCUGCACAUGUGAAAGGAGGCUUGAGGAAGAUGAACUGGAAACCUACGCAGACAGACUCAAAUUUUUGGUUUGGUUUUUGGCAGAAGUUAGGACACAACUUCAUUGAUUACAAUCAACAAGUUAAAUGUUGAUCACUAGAAAGCAAGAAGAAUCCUUUUAAGAAUAUGAAGCCACAGGAACAAAACCCCAUGCGAAGCGCAGCAAGAAGUCUACAAAGGCAGGAGUUGGAAACCUCAGGCCUGGGACCCAAAUGUCACCUGGCCUCAGGACUCUAGCCAGACCCUGCCUUACCUGGCCUGCUGUGCCCCUGCCUUGAGUGAGUUCACCUAACUGUGUCUUUGAGCUGCAAUGUCUCUUUCAUACUUGGAUGGAGCAUGGAGCAUGUAGCAUGUUGGAUAACCUAUAAAAUAAUUAGAAUUGUAUGCAGCCUUGUUUAGGGAGGCUUUUAAUGUUUAAUUAUUUUAUUUCAUUUUUCUGUUGUAAGCCAGCCAGAUGGGCGGGGUAAUAAUAAUAAUAAU